AAACCAGCACCUCAAGUGGUCAGGAUGAUUAUUGGGCCUAAAGCAUCCGUAGCCUGCUCUGUAAGUUUUCGGUUAAAUCUGUACGCUUAACGUACAGGCUGCCGGGAAUACUGCAGAGCUAGGGAGUGGGAGAGGUAGACGGUACUCGGGAGGAAGUGGUAAAAUGAUUUGAUCUCUCGAUGACCACCUGUGGCGAAGGCGGUCUACCAGAACACGUCCGACGGUGAGGGAUGAAAGCUGGGGGAGCAAACCGGAUUAGAUACCCUAGUAGUCC
Molecule: ribosomal RNA, 274 nt
Filed under: uncultured bacterium
Lineage: Bacteria
Description: partial 16S ribosomal RNA
Rfam family: Archaeal small subunit ribosomal RNA
Source: RNAcentral